This 4907-nucleotide unclassified non-coding RNA is filed under the name Leishmania donovani. Its description in RNAcentral is "gene:LdHU3.30.1750(CDS-product:SNF2_family_N-inal _domain/Helicase_conserved_C-inal_domain_containing_protein _putative)". The record is from RNAcentral. Lineage: Eukaryota; Euglenozoa; Kinetoplastea; Trypanosomatida; Trypanosomatidae.
AGGUAACACCCUCCUCUCUCUGUGCGGUGGGCGCAUUGUACAGCACUCCCUCAUGUGCAUACCGGGCACCCAUCUCCUCCCCCUUCGCCACCGCCGCGCAUGUCCUCGGAGACUCCUCGCGCCAGCACCCACGAUGUCUUCUGCGCUGCGCUGCAGAGGCUCGGCGGCGCACAUAUUUUUUCUCAGAACUUAAUACAGAGGACAGCGGUGGCAUCGCUGUCGCCGCGUAGCCAAAAUGGCAAUGGGGUGAGUGCCGUCAUCGCAGAAUCCGCGGCGCCGAGUGACGCCGGUACGAACCAGCUGCCAGACCCUGGCAUCGACGCGGAUGCCAAGCCGGUCGACAAGUCAUGCUGCCGAGGCAAACAGCCAUGUGAGUGCACUGACACCGCACCCGUGAAGGCGAUGGCCACUCUUUAUGACCCACCGGCGCGAUGUGAGGGAGUCGUGGCGGCGCAGGAUGCGCAAAGACGCUUGCAUCAUCUGCGGUUUUUAGGUGGGCGUUUUUCCCUUGCCGAUGGCGCGAAUGCAUCAGAGUCGCAGCAGACGAGCGGGUAUGCGUCCACGGCGACCAACAACGCGCACGUCAACGACGGCUGCAGCAGCACCUGGGAGUUGAAGGCGAGCUACUUUCAAGCGAUGAAGGAAACGCUCACCGCCGUUAUGGGGCGUCGACUGCGCUCUCAGCUGCUCGGCGACGACGGCACAGCCGACACCGGCACAGUUCUGCGUGCCCCUGUGCCACGCGGCGCCACGGGAGCAUCGACCAUGACGACGUCGGCUCGACAAGCGGCGCUCCGUAGAAGGAUGGAGGCCUUCACGAGUGCCGUGGCACAUCAGGAGUCGAUCCUGGAUGACGUUGCGGCGGCAUGCAGGGCACACCUGCACACAGUCGGAGGUGCCACAGCGGUCCCAGCCCCCUGCUUUUUCUUUGCUGCUCUUCCCCAGAUCUCAAUGCGGCAAUGGGCCGGCUCGCACCUCUACAAACAGUGGCUCGUGCGCUGCGAGACUCCGCGUGCUUCACUGCCGUCAACGGCGACAAGACCAAAAAAGGUCGGCCUUCAUGGGGCACCGAUGCUGCCGUCGCCCUCCGCCCCGCGAGCUCCGGCAACGACGCUUGUGCUGCCGCUGGAUGUAGAGGCGGAGUUGCGCAAGUACUGGAAGCUGCAUGACGAGGCCGCAGCGCGCGCGCGACUGGAGGCGUUGCGUUGCAACGACGCCCAGGCGUUCGCUGAGCACGUCAGCUUGCUGAAGGUGUCUGCGCUUCUCGAAAUCAUGGAGAGGACGGAGGGCUUUAUGCACCGCAUCGGGCUACGGCUUCAGUCCCAUGCCACUCAGGCCGCCGCAAACCGUGGUGGUGAUGGCGCGUGCGCUGUGUCUACGACGCGCGCAGCACCUGCAGCCCUUGCUGAGCCGGGUAUCGCCGACCGCCCAGGGGGCGCAGCAGGAUGCCACGGCAGCGAGUACGAGCGCUUCCGUUCCUACGUGGCAUCCACCAAGAAUGAGUUCAAGCUCAUGCACCGCGUGGAUGUGUUUGUGGCGGCCCAGCCGGCCGGCCUGGACGCGACGCUGCUUCCUCACCAGAUGGAUGGCCUGCGCUUUCUGGCGUCCCUUGACGCCAACCACAUCAACGGCAUCCUGGCGGACGAAAUGGGCGUGGGCAAGACGAUUCAGACGCUCGCUUUUCUCCUCUACCUGAAAAACAGACGGGGCGAGACUGGCGAGGGCAGCGGCGGCAGAGUGGCGCCGCUGCGAGUGGGUUCGCGGCUCCCGCAUCUGGUCCUUGCCCCGCUCUCUGUCGUCCGAGAGUGGCGGGAGGCAUGCGAGCAGUUUGUGCCGAGUACUCUUCACGUUGCCAUGUACCAGGAGCUGGCCGACCCCGUCCACGAAGCUGCGGCUUACGACCUUGUCCUUCUUCCGGCCCAUGCUAUCCGCUACGUUGGCGCGGAGGCAGCGCGCAUUCGGUGGCACUAUAUCGUCGUGGACGAGGCUCACAAGGCGCUGGCGAACCUGAGCACCAUCACGGCGCAGCGCAUCUUGGGCCUCCCGUGCUUGCGCCGCCUGGUGCUGACUGGGACGCCGCUCAGCAGCGACCUGCAGGAGCUCUGGUCGCUGCUGCACUUUCUGAAUCCGGAGGUGUUUACCGACAAUGACGCGUUUGAGGAGGUCUUUCGACGGCCUUUUCGCGUGUACGAGGCGCAUGAGAUGGAGCUGACAGAGGAGGAGCGCGGUCUGCUAAUACUGCGACUGCAUCAGGUUCUGCGGCCGUUUCUGCUGCGCCGCACAAAGGCGGACGUCGAUUCGACUCUUCGGAUGACGCUCCAUCACAUGUGGUGCCCGCUGAGUGCGAUGCAGCAGCGCUUGCUGUGCAUGCUGCGCGAGCAGCGGCGAAUGCCCACGGUUCUCGGUAUGGCGGGAGGCUACAGCGGUAAAAGUAGCAGCAGUAGCGAGGCGGACAAUGAGGAGGAGACCGCAGGCGCCGCUGACGAGGCGGCGCACACGAGCACGUUUCCAGCGGCGGAGAUAGGGACUGGCGAGUCCUCUGGCUGCACCCAACACACUGCUUCUGCAGCAUUCGCGGCAGAAGCUCUGCACGGCGAGUUCUCUCCAGACCUCGACACUCUCCAGGCGCGCAAUGAGACGGCCACGACCCGUGAUCGGCUCGCCGAGCUCGUCUGGCGGCAUCUGCCCGCCCUGGCGAGCACUGAGUCCAGCGACAUCUUGCGCUGCGCAGUGCAGCAGGACAGAGCCCUCGGGCUCACCAGCGCCGGCGUCUCAGAAUCGUCCGCGCGGCUUCUGUGCAACCAUGCCUUUUUGCUGCCCUUCUUUUCACAGGUCCUUCAUCGGCAUGGCCUCGAUGAGGUAACGCAGGAGGGGUGCAGCGACGCGGACGCGGCCGCUGCACGAACCUCGGAAAGCAGCGUUGUCGGUGGCGAGGCCGCGGAAGGUUGUGGCGCUGCCGGUCUCACCCUUGCGUGCAGCGGUAAGUUCCUUGUCCUGCAUCUGCUACUCUCGCGCCUGUACGUGGCGCAGCGCAAGGUGGUGCUCUUCACGCACUGGCUCAAUUGUGUGGACCUGCUCGUCGACUAUCUGCACAGCCGCGGCUGGGCCGACCACGCGGAGGUGCUCACAGGCGGCAGCAGCGAGGCCGAGCGUCUGACGAGCGUGCGGCGCUUCCGCGAGGACCCGGCGUGUCUCUUCUUCCUUCUCUCCAUCAAGGCUGGCGGGUGCGGGAUCAACCUGCAAGCUGCGCACAUGGUGGUCCUAGUGGACCGUGACUACACGGCAACCAACGAGGAUCAAGCACUAGCACGCGUCUACCGCAUUGGCCAGCGGCACACCGUGCGGGCCGUAUACCUCGCCACCACCGACGCCAGCGAGCAGCGUGUCGCCCAGCGGGCAGCGGCGAAGAACAAACCGCGGCAGGCCAUCAUCAACGAUGGUGUCUAUCAAGUGACGACGGCGAGCGAAGCAGAGCGAGUGGGCGAGACGGGCGAGACUGUGACAGCGGCGACAUUCGCAGAUCCUCCUUCACAUGCUCACAAUGAACUGGAUACCUCCGAGCUGUGGCGGUCGAUCCCUGGCGCCACCACGCCACCAUCGCCCACUACUGCGACGCAGGAGGCGCGAAGGCCCGAGUGUGAUGGCACGGCCUACGGCGCUGCCGGGCCCGCCCCGUUUUCCCUGCCGCCACCGGAGGCGUUCUGGGCAGCUCUCUCUCGCCUUGUUGAAUCGAUGGAUGAGCUGGUUCUCACCGAGGAGGAUCAGGCGGCAGCAACGGUGCGCAGUGCCAAAGAGGAGGGGCGUAGCAUGGACUGUACUCCCGCUAACAGCGCCGCUGCGCGGCUCCUUGCAACUCGGCCGCCACAGAGCACUGCAGAGCUGCACCUGCGCCUGCAAGGGGGAAAGCCCGAGAUGUUCUCGGGCCCUCAGCGCGAGCGUGGCGUGGCCCCGUCGCUGAGCGGCACCGCGGCGGACGACGCGUACUUGGGGGCAUGGAAGCAUGGCGCGGAAGCCCCGACCGCCGGGGACCGCACGAGACCCCACACGCCUAGCGAACCUCAGGCAGCCGCCCUCGCCGCGACGCCGCAGUCAACGCCUCUGUCCGCCCCUGUUACAGAUCCUCUGCGAAACAGUGCCUUGUUUUGGUUGGAGUUCAGCCAUCUUCUUCGCAUCGCCGGGCGCGGCCCUUAUCUCCUUUCCGACUCCCUCCGUGCCGCCGUCACUAACGACGCCAGGAAGAGCGACCCAGAGGAGCGUGCGCGGCGUCGGCAGCGGCGCGAUCGUCGCGUCGCUAAGCGUCUGCGGCUCGCAAGCGUAGACGUGCCUGACGACUUCCGCGAGGCUUGCUGGGCGAAGGAGGGCAUCGACGACAAUGCCGAGGUAGCGGAGCGCUACUUGCGCUUCCUCGAUGCAAACGCCGGCAAGCGACGGCAGCGAAGGCGAAAGGAUGCGGGCUGAGAGCGCCGCCGAGCGCGGCGUUGUGUUACACAGUCUUCGAUGCACCGGUGCGCCUGCGUUUGCCAGUAGCGGUGACUCGCUCUGGCCGUGCCGUUUCGGUCUCCGGGGUGUUCUGUAGCGGGGUUCUUCCUUGGGUUCUCCCCGUGCCGUAAACGGCACCUAUCCCUGUCCUGCUUUAGCGGACUGCAUGCUCCCUGCUCUAUCACGCGCCCGACACACGGGCGCCGGGGCGUGCGCGUGUGCACGCUUAUCCUUUCCGUGAUCUGCUAUGAAAACAGAAACCGCCCAUAGAAAACGAAGAGAUUUGUCUUUUAUGUGUGCGCGGAUAGCUUCACGUCGUCGACGGUGUGCGUCCCUGGGCCUCUCUCGCAUGGUGCGUCGUCAGCCAUGCAGGAACGAAGCGGGAACGAGGCGGGGGUUUUGAGGAGGCGCUGCGCCUUUGUGUGCCG